UGGGGAAUAUUGGGCAAUGGGGGAAACCCUGACCCAGCAACGCCGCGUGAAGGAUGAAGUAUUUCGGUAUGUAAACUUCGAAAGAAUAGGAAGAAUAAAUGACGGUACUAUUUAUAAGGUCCGGCUAACUACGUGCCAGCAGCCGCGGUAAUACGUAGGGACCAAGCGUUGUUCGGAUUUACUGGGCGUAAAGGGCGCGUAGGCGGCAAUUCAAGUCAUCUGUGAAAUCUCCGGGCUUAACUCGGAACGGUCAGAUGAUACUGCUUUGCUAGAGUGCAGAAGGGGCAAUCGGAAUUCUUGGUGUAGCGGUGAAAUGCGUAGAUAUCAAGAGGAACACCUGAGGUGAAGACGGGUUGCUGGGCUGACACUGACGCUGAGGCGCGAAAGCCAGGGGAGCAAACGGGAUUAGAUACCCCCGUAGUCCCUGAGCGGGCUGGCAAGGCGCAU
RNAcentral lists this ribosomal RNA (447 nucleotides) under uncultured bacterium. Its description in RNAcentral is "bacterial SSU rRNA". It matches the Rfam family "Bacterial small subunit ribosomal RNA", at positions 355 to 825 of the family's 1533-position model. The record is from RNAcentral.